Molecule: long non-coding RNA, 719 nt
Filed under: Homo sapiens (human)
Lineage: Eukaryota; Metazoa; Chordata; Mammalia; Primates; Hominidae
Description: HSALNT0174763
Source: RNAcentral
CCCUCUGUUGCCCUAGCGCCCCUUGGAAGCCAAGAAUAUGAGGAAGUCUUCUUCCUUCGCGCCUUCUUCUUCCUUACGCUCCAGGGCAGCCUGACAGAGCCGCUCGAAGGCUCUGCUGGCCGCGGCUAGCCGGUUUACCCAUUCCACUGGACCCAGCCACCACCCACUCCUGCUGUCUGAGUUCAUUCUUCCUCAUAGCAGCCCCUGCAUUCAGUUUGGUUUAGUUGUUUUAUGUGGUUUCUAGCCUGAUUUUUUUUUUCAGGGUGCAGCAGAAGUCUCAGGUAGCUGAGAAGUUCAUGGAAUCUUCUUAUUUGCUACACCUUUCACUACUGCUUGUGAUAUAGUGCAGGGUUGGGAUGUGCAGACAUUUCUCAAGUGCACUGUGUACCUACACAGCAUGCUGCAAUUUGGCUACUGAAGUCAAGAGAAACUGGUUUGAACAACUACUGAGUGUAACAUAGGAAGCGCAUUUCAUUUGAUAACAGGAACACAGCUUUUGUGCUAAUAAAAUGCUUUGAAAAUUAGUGUGUGGUCUUUAGUAAUUAGCAUAUACAUUUUAGUUAUCCAUUGGUUCAUAACAAACGGACUAAAUAGGUACCCCACUGAGUCAUUUAUCUAAAUGAAAAGUUUGGUUAAAUUGUAGUUGUAGGCAUUGAUCAAAGCUAAUGGGAAAAAGAGAUUAAGAUGAAAAUCAUGGGAUUAAAUUUUUAAUUAGUUUG